This is a long non-coding RNA of Jatropha curcas, 651 nucleotides long. RefSeq lists it as uncharacterized. Lineage: Eukaryota; Viridiplantae; Streptophyta; Magnoliopsida; Malpighiales; Euphorbiaceae. The record is from RefSeq and is a predicted model, not a curated record.
AUGUAUUAUGAGCAUCAUCACCUUCCUUGUUUGCAUUGCCAACCACAAGAAUAUAUUAGAAUGGUUCAACAUUUGAUAGAGAGGUGUUUGCUCUUUCACAUGAAUAGAGAUGAUUGUGUGAAGGCACUUGCAAAACAUGCUAGUGUUCAUCCUACAGUCACUUCUACAGGUUCAUUCUCUUCUUCUUUCUUCUUCUUCUCCUUCUUCUUUUGACAAUUUUUUUUUAGCAGUGUGGAAAGAAUUAGUCAGAGAGAAUAAGAGUUUCUUCCAAGGAUACUUUCAUGCUAUUUCACCCAAACACCAUACCAGCAGGCUUGCUAGGAGAGAACUUAACUAUAGAAGAAGAAAGCAUUGGAAGACUUUUAGAAACACUUGAAAGCAAUAGAUCAGCUUGUUAAAUCAAUUUACCAAUCUACUAAUAAAUAUGGGCAAGAAAUGCUUAUGCUGCCAUUUGAUCUUUGUUACAAAUAAAGAACAAGGCUUCCUACCGAUAAGACGUAAUGUAAUAUAGUUAAAUGUAUUUCUAAUGUAAUAUUUAUAUUGUAUUAUAUUACAUUAAAGCUGACUAAACCAAGCGUAAGUUCAAAUGUCAAAUGCUAAUUUUUAUUGAACAUACAGCUUCUAUAGAAAGAAAAGUUGAAUCCGACUCCC